CUUGACAAAAAAGCCCUGUCUCUAGUCCUUUUAUAAAAAAUACUAUGAAAGUAAUAAAGCUUUCUAUAUUUAGAGGGACGACAAGACCCUAAAAUCUUUUUUAAGUCUUUUCUCCUGCUUAGACUACAAUCGUAAAAGUAAGUAAAAAUUACUGGGGCGGUAAUAUUUAUCAACAAAUAUUAACAGCACGCCCUGAGCGGCUACUUAUACCCUGGUCAGUAAAUAACAAGAUACUUUAGGGAUAACAGCAUAAUUCUUCUCCAGAGCCCUAAUCGCCAGAAGAGUUUGUGACCUCGAUGUUGAAUUGAAUACGCUCUUUUGAGUAGCCCCAAGAGUAGUAAGUCUGUUCGACUUUUAAACCUUCACAUGAUCUGAGUUCAAACCGAA
Molecule: ribosomal RNA, 387 nt
Filed under: Trichoniscus cavernicola
Lineage: Eukaryota; Metazoa; Arthropoda; Malacostraca; Isopoda; Trichoniscidae
Description: partial large subunit ribosomal RNA
Rfam family: Bacterial large subunit ribosomal RNA (bases 46-387)
Source: RNAcentral